This 331-nucleotide ribosomal RNA is filed under the name uncultured eukaryote. RNAcentral describes it as "partial 18S ribosomal RNA". It matches the Rfam family "Eukaryotic small subunit ribosomal RNA", at positions 1470 to 1796 of the family's 1831-position model. The record is from RNAcentral.
CCCUUAGAUGUCCUGGGCCGCACGCGCGCUACACUGAGUGUCUGAGAUAUGAGGCAUGCCUGGUCCGGCAAGGUCUAGGUAAUCACGAAAAGGCACAUCAUGCUUGGGAUUGAUUAUUGCAAAUUUUAAUCAUGAACGAGGAAUUCCUAGUAAGUGCAAGUCAACAGCUUGCGUUGAUUACGUCCCUGCCCUUUGUACACACCGCCCGUCGCUCCUACCGAUUGAGUGUGUUGGUGAGGAGUUCGGAUUGGCUCUUAGUGGUGGUUCGCCACCACCUAGAGCUGAGAAGUUCUCCAAACCGCCCCACUUAGAGGAAGGAGAAGUCGUAACA